GGGUUGUGAGGUUAAGCGACUAAGCGUACACGGUGGAUGCCCUGGCAGUCAGAGGCGAUGAAGGACGUGCUAAUCUGCGAUAAGCGUCGGUAAGGUGAUAUGAACCGUUAUAACCGGCGAUUUCCGAAUGGGGAAACCCAGUGUGUUUCGACACACUAUCAUUAACUGAAUCCAUAGGUUAAUGAGGCGAACCGGGGGAACUGAAACAUCUAAGUACCCCGAGGAAAAGAAAUCAACCGAGAUUCCCCCAGUAGCGGCGAGCGAACGGGGAGCAGCCCAGAGCCUGAAUCAGUAUGUGUGUUAGUGGAAGCGUCUGGAAAGGCGCGCGAUACAGGGUGACAGCCCCGUACACAAAAAUGCACAUAUUGUGAGCUCGAUGAGUAGGGCGGGACACGUGGUAUCCUGUCUGAAUAUGGGGGGACCAUCCUCCAAGGCUAAAUACUCCUGACUGACCGAUAGUGAACCAGUACCGUGAGGGAAAGGCGAAAAGAACCCCGGCGAGGGGAGUGAAAAAGAACCUGAAACCGUGUACGUACAAGCAGUGGGAGCACGCUUAGGCGUGUGACUGCGUACCUUUUGUAUAAUGGGUCAGCGACUUAUAUUCUGUAGCAAGGUUAACCGAAUAGGGGAGCCGAAGGGAAACCGAGUCUUAACUGGGCGUUAAGUUGCAGGGUAUAGACCCGAAACCCGGUGAUCUAGCCAUGGGCAGGUUGAAGGUUGGGUAACACUAACUGGAGGACCGAACCGACUAAUGUUGAAAAAUUAGCGGAUGACUUGUGGCUGGGGGUGAAAGGCCAAUCAAACCGGGAGAUAGCUGGUUCUCCCCGAAAGCUAUUUAGGUAGCGCCUCGUGAAUUCAUCUCCGGGGGUAGAGCACUGUUUCGGCAAGGGGGUCAUCCCGACUUACCAACCCGAUGCAAACUGCGAAUACCGGAGAAUGUUAUCACGGGAGACACACGGCGGGUGCUAACGUCCGUCGUGAAGAGGGAAACAACCCAGACCGCCAGCUAAGGUCCCAAAGUCAUGGUUAAGUGGGAAACGAUGUGGGAAGGCCCAGACAGCCAGGAUGUUGGCUUAGAAGCAGCCAUCAUUUAAAGAAAGCGUAAUAGCUCACUGGUCGAGUCGGCCUGCGCGGAAGAUGUAACGGGGCUAAACCAUGCACCGAAGCUGCGGCAGCGACGCUGAUGCGUUGUUGGGUAGGGGAGCGUUCUGUAAGCCUGCGAAGGUGUGCUGUGAGGCAUGCUGGAGGUAUCAGAAGUGCGAAUGCUGACAUAAGUAACGAUAAAGCGGGUGAAAAGCCCGCUCGCCGGAAGACCAAGGGUUCCUGUCCAACGUUAAUCGGGGCAGGGUGAGUCGACCCCUAAGGCGAGGCCGAAAGGCGUAGUCGAUGGGAAACAGGUUAAUAUUCCUGUACUUGGUGUUACUGCGAAGGGGGGACGGAGAAGGCUAUGUUGGCCGGGCGACGGUUGUCCCGGUUUAAGCGUGUAGGCUGGUUUUCCAGGCAAAUCCGGAAAAUCAAGGCUGAGGCGUGAUGACGAGGCACUACGGUGCUGAAGCAACAAAUGCCCUGCUUCCAGGAAAAGCCUCUAAGCAUCAGGUAACAUCAAAUCGUACCCCAAACCGACACAGGUGGUCAGGUAGAGAAUACCAAGGCGCUUGAGAGAACUCGGGUGAAGGAACUAGGCAAAAUGGUGCCGUAACUUCGGGAGAAGGCACGCUGAUAUGUAGGUGAGGUCCCUCGCGGAUGGAGCUGAAAUCAGUCGAAGAUACCAGCUGGCUGCAACUGUUUAUUAAAAACACAGCACUGUGCAAACACGAAAGUGGACGUAUACGGUGUGACGCCUGCCCGGUGCCGGAAGGUUAAUUGAUGGGGUUAGCGCAAGCGAAGCUCUUGAUCGAAGCCCCGGUAAACGGCGGCCGUAACUAUAACGGUCCUAAGGUAGCGAAAUUCCUUGUCGGGUAAGUUCCGACCUGCACGAAUGGCGUAAUGAUGGCCAGGCUGUCUCCACCCGAGACUCAGUGAAAUUGAACUCGCUGUGAAGAUGCAGUGUACCCGCGGCAAGACGGAAAGACCCCGUGAACCUUUACUAUAGCUUGACACUGAACAUUGAGCCUUGAUGUGUAGGAUAGGUGGGAGGCUUAGAAGUGUGGACGCCAGUCUGCAUGGAGCCGACCUUGAAAUACCACCCUUUAAUGUUUGAUGUUCUAACGUUGACCCGUAAUCCGGGUUGCGGACAGUGUCUGGUGGGUAGUUUGACUGGGGCGGUCUCCUCCUAAAGAGUAACGGAGGAGCACGAAGGUUGGCUAAUCCUGGUCGGACAUCAGGAGGUUAGUGCAAUGGCAUAAGCCAGCUUGACUGCGAGCGUGACGGCGCGAGCAGGUGCGAAAGCAGGUCAUAGUGAUCCGGUGGUUCUGAAUGGAAGGGCCAUCGCUCAACGGAUAAAAGGUACUCCGGGGAUAACAGGCUGAUACCGCCCAAGAGUUCAUAUCGACGGCGGUGUUUGGCACCUCGAUGUCGGCUCAUCACAUCCUGGGGCUGAAGUAGGUCCCAAGGGUAUGGCUGUUCGCCAUUUAAAGUGGUACGCGAGCUGGGUUUAGAACGUCGUGAGACAGUUCGGUCCCUAUCUGCCGUGGGCGCUGGAGAACUGAGGGGGGCUGCUCCUAGUACGAGAGGACCGGAGUGGACGCAUCACUGGUGUUCGGGUUGUCAUGCCAAUGGCACUGCCCGGUAGCUAAAUGCGGAAGAGAUAAGUGCUGAAAGCAUCUAAGCACGAAACUUGCCCCGAGAUGAGUUCUCCCUGACCCUUUAAGGGUCCUGAAGGAACGUUGAAGACGACGACGUUGAUAGGCCGGGUGUGUAAGCGCAGCGAUGCGUUGAGCUAACCGGUACUAAUGAACCGUGAGGCUUAACCUUACAACGCCGAAGCUGUU
Molecule: ribosomal RNA, 2930 nt
Filed under: Escherichia coli
Lineage: Bacteria; Pseudomonadati; Pseudomonadota; Gammaproteobacteria; Enterobacterales; Enterobacteriaceae
Description: bacterial LSU rRNA
Rfam family: Bacterial large subunit ribosomal RNA
Source: RNAcentral